AACGAACGCUGGCGGCAGGCUUAACACAUGCAAGUCGAACGCACCUUCGGGUGAGUGGCAGACGGGUGAGUAACGCGUGGGAAACCUUCCCUGUGGUACGGAAUAGCUCCGGGAAACUGGAAUUAAUACCGUAUACGCCCUUUUGGGGAAAGAUUUAUCGCCAUAGGAUGGGCCCGCGUCGGAUUAGCUUGUUGGUAGGGUAAUGGCCUACCAAGGCAACGAUCCGUAGCUGGUCUUAGAGGAUGAUCAGCCACACUGGGACUGAGACACGGCCCAGACUCCUACGGGAGGCAGCAGUGGGGAAUAUUGGACAAUGGGCGAAAGCCUGAUCCAGCCAUGCCGCGUGAGUGACGAAGGCCUUAGGGUUGUAAAACUCUUUUGGCGGGGACGAUAAUGACGGUACCCGCAGAAUAAGCCCCGGCUAACUUCGUG
RNAcentral lists this ribosomal RNA (432 nucleotides) under uncultured bacterium. Its description in RNAcentral is "bacterial SSU rRNA". It matches the Rfam family "Bacterial small subunit ribosomal RNA", at positions 29 to 507 of the family's 1533-position model. The record is from RNAcentral.